RNAcentral lists this ribosomal RNA (793 nucleotides) under uncultured bacterium. RNAcentral's name for it is "bacterial SSU rRNA". It matches the Rfam family "Bacterial small subunit ribosomal RNA", at positions 59 to 848 of the family's 1533-position model. The record is from RNAcentral.
CAGUCGAACGAGAGACCUUCGGGUCUCUAGUGGCGAACGGGUGAGUAACACCUAAGGAACCUGCCCGCGCACCGGGAAUACGCUCUGGAAACGGAGAACAAAUCCCGAUGUACAGGAAGGAGGCAUCUUCUUUCUGUGAAACAUCCUUUAGGGGAUGGGGCGCGGAUGGACCUGCGGUGCAUUAGUUGGUUGGCGGGGUAAAGGCCCACCAAGACGAUGAUGCAUAGCCGGCCUGAGAGGGCGGACGGCCACAUUGGGACUGAGACACGGCCCAGACUCCUGCGGGAGGCAGCAGUAGGGAAUUUUCGUCAAUGGGCGCAAGCCUGAACGAGCGAUGCCGCGUGAGUGAAGAAGGCCUUCGGGUCGUAAAGCUCUGUUGCGGGGGAAAAAAGGCAGCAUCAGGAAAUGGGUGCUGACUGAUGGUGCCCCGCCAGAAAGUCACGGCUAACUACGUGCCAGCAGCCGCGGUAAUACGUAGGUGGCGAGCGUUAUCCGGAAUGAUUGGGCGUAAAGGGUGCGCAGGCGGUCCUGCAAGUCUGGAGUGAAACGCAUGAGCUCAACUCAUGCAUGGCUUUGGAAACUGGAGGACUGGAGAGCAGGAGAGGGCGGUGGAACUCCAUGUGUAGCGGUAAAAUGCGUAGAUAUAUGGAAGAACACCAGUGGCGAAGGCGGCCGCCUGGCCUGUUGCUGACGCUGAGGCACGAAAGCGUGNGGAGCAAAUAGGAUUAGAUACCCUANUAGUCCACGCCGUAAACGAUGAGGACCAAGUGUUGGGGGUGAAACCUCAGUGCUG